GAUGAACGCUGGCGGCGUGCCUAAUACAUGCCAGUCGAGCGAACGGACGAGAAGCUUGCUUUUCUGAUGUUAGCGGCGGACGGGUGAGUAACACGUGGAUAACCUACCUAUAAGACUGGGAUAACUUCGGGAAACCGGAGCUAAUACCGGAUAAUAUUUUGAACCGCAUGGUUCAAAAGUGAAAGACGGUCUUGCUGUCACUUAUAGAUGAAUCCGCGCUGCAUUAGCUAGUUGGUAAGGUAACGGCUUACCAAGGCAACGAUGCAUAGCCGACCUGAGAGGGUGAUCGGCCACACUGGAACUGAGACACGGUCCAGACUCCUACGGGAGGCAGCAGUAGGGAAUCUUCCGCAAUGGGCGAAAGCCUGACGGAGCAACGCCGCGUGAGUGAUGAAGGUCUUCGGAUCGUAAAACUCUGUUAUUAGGGAAGAACAUAUGUGUAAGUAACUGUGCACAUCUUGACGGUACCUAAUCAGAAAGCCACGGCUAACUACGUG
Molecule: ribosomal RNA, 497 nt
Filed under: uncultured bacterium
Lineage: Bacteria
Description: partial 16S ribosomal RNA
Rfam family: Bacterial small subunit ribosomal RNA
Source: RNAcentral